UACGGGGGGGGCAAGCGUUGUUCGGAAUUACUGGGCGUAAAGGGCUCGUAGGCGGCCAACUAAGUCAGACGUGAAAUCCCUCGGCUUAACCGGGGAACUGCGUCUGAUACUGGAUGGCUUGAAUCCGGGAGAGGGAUGCGGAAUUCCAGGUGUAGCGGUGAAAUGCGUAGAUAUUGGGAAGAACACCCGUGGCGAAGGCGGCUCUCUGGGACGGUACUGACGCUGAGACGCGAAAGCGUGGGGAGCGAACAGG
Molecule: ribosomal RNA, 253 nt
Filed under: uncultured bacterium
Lineage: Bacteria
Description: partial 16S ribosomal RNA
Rfam family: Bacterial small subunit ribosomal RNA
Source: RNAcentral